CCCUGUGCAAAUAUAAGAAGUAAAGAAAUGGACUCGAGGAUAGAUGGACAGAAUUGGAAACAUGGAAACUGGAAUAUAUACAAAGAUUUUUUCACAAUCCAGAAUACUACUUUGAUGGUGCUUUCUAUUAGCUCUCCUGAGAUGGCAAAUUUAACUAAGAUUUGGAGAAGCGCUUGUCAUUGCAACAUUUAGUGAUAACACCUGGGUCUAUGACCAAAAAUAGCCACCUUGUAUUAUUUACAGAAUUCGGUGCAAUAACACGUUGGAUGCAACAAUAGCCAUAUCAAGCCCGAUAGGGCCUUUUGAGUCCAUUUGCUACAGUUCUAUAAUGUCGUCAUGUCCUGUCCAGCAAAAGGAGUUUUACUUGGUCACCUCGGUUUGCCUUGAAAGUGGUAGAAGACCAGGAACAAACGGUAACGUUAUAUCAUCAUUAAUAUGAUGGGGGCGUAAAUUUCGCUUUCUGUCAUCUUCAUCCUUACUCCCAAACUUCAAUGAUAUCAUGCUAACGCUAUACAAAAUGAUUUUCGCCACUCCACCAUUCCCACGACAUACAAGUAUUCUAUUUCUAACAGGGGCAAAAAAAGGUACUAUGCCCACCACAAAAGAAAACAUGACAUCACCAAACAAAGAUGCUGCCAUCUAAAUGGCACAUCUCGCAAGCAGCAUGGUAGAGGCAAGAGGGUCCACAACACACUUGGUCACCUACUUACAGACACAUAUUGAACUGAGAUGCAACAAAAAUGGAUUCAAAUUAAGUAACAAGGAUUAAAAAGGCCCAGUGGUCCAAAUCACACCAAAUUAACAUAAGGAAUUGAAAUACAAGUCCAACUCCAAUUAAGCACCCCCACCAUCGCAGUGCGAAAGUUUUAAUUCAGAUUUUAGCCUCGCCAAUUCCAUUGUGCAAUAGAAGAGUAAGCCACGGGGGGUAAAUAACCAGAUCAGGUUGCAUCAUCUUAGGGAAGUCUAGUCUGGUAUUUGGUGGCCAACUCAGCAUAACCUGAUAAAUCACAAUCUUCUCACAGAAGGGGUCAACUUUGCAAGCAAACCCAUCCAGCAACUGAUUGUUAACGAUGUACAUAACGUUUUAGCUAAAGAUCAAGAAUUAGAGCUACUCUUAAAACUCUUACAUAGGAAUUGGCCAAACUAAGGCAUUUGUUCCUUUAAAUGUCACUUCGUGCAUAGAGGACUAGUUGAUUUCUGUUGAAACAAAUAGUGCGAGGCAAGGAGAAGGAAAGGAAGGUUCCAGAGAAGACUCGUUAGAUAACAGGAAAAACCAGUUUUUAAAUUUUAGCAUAAAGCAGUUUAGUUAAUGCCCCUUCUUUAACUUCCAGCCUUCCAGCGGCAGCGGAUAGCAAUAUAUCAAAUUUCUAACGUUUGCUGGGACGCAAUUUUCAUUGGGAGUCUCAUCUAAAAAAGAGUAACCAACCAAACACAAGGUAAAUUCAGAAAUUGAAGAGUAAGUCUGCCAUGCAAGUGCCAAUGCCUCCAGAACACAAAGCAUACUGGAGUACCAAUUUCUUCAAGACGACCAAACAGAAAGUUUUAAUGAGCAAGAGAUAGAAACAAACAAGUUACGCUUCUCCCACAUGACAUGCUGAGUUUAAAUAUGAUCAACACUGCAGAGAAGAGUAGUGAAUGAUCUUACGGGGCCAUCCAACGGUAAGUCCCUGUCUCAGGUGUCAUUCCUUCAGUCUGGACCUCAAUUCGAGCAACCCCGAAAUCAGCAAUCUUGAUUGAUUUAUCGGAGAAAAUUAGGAGAUUGUCAGAUUUUAAAUCUCUGUGGAUCAAACCAAGCCCAUGAACAUACUCCAUUCCCCUAGCAACAUCCAAGGCCUGUCUGACUGCCAAUUUCAACGGAACGGCCCGAUUAUGCCGUUUCAUCAAAAACUGCCGAACUGAACCUCCUUUCGCAUAUUCUGUAACGAUGCACCAGACCAUUGGCUUACGGCAUCCACCAAUGAAUCGGACAAUGUUAGGAUGCUUCAAUGUGGCCAACAUCAUGACUUCUUGCUGAAACUGUUGCUCCAUCAGCUGCGCCCUCUCUAGAUCGUUCUCUGGCCUCUCCAAGAUCUUGAUGGCGACUUCCUCGCCAUUGUAAGUACCUCUGUAGAGCUUUCCAAAGGCCCCUUGCGCGAAAGGUGCACCCAUGUUGAGUUUCCUCAGAUCGAGAGUCCAGUCAUCAAAUUUUUCAAGUCCCAAGGUCGGGGAACUGCUGUCCAUAAGAGCUUGGGCUAGUGCAUCAUCACUCAAAGCAUGCGUGACUCUCCCUCUGUGAUUCACACUCUGCGCAACAGAAUAGUUGUCGUUGGCACGCCGUCGCAGGCCUUGGUGAUUUAGCAUGCGAGUAUGGGAAUCGCUAGAGUCGACACUGCUGUUGUCUAUGGACAUCGCGACAGACCCUCCACCAGUGCUGGUUUGCAGGCUUCCACAGCUCUCGAUCGACAUGUUGGAACCCUCGCUGAGCUUAUGAUAAAACGCCUGGGACGAAUCGAAGUAAUUGUUAUCAUGAUUCUUCAGACCAAUAAUUCCAGGGAACUUCUGACCUCCGUCCAACAUUUCCGAGUCCCAACAAAACAGCACAGGCGCUCAGCCUCUGUUCAGUUCAUAAGCUAUCUUCUAUAACUGAAGAAGUCAAUACACCGUACUAAUGAAACCCUGCAAGAGAAGCAAACCCUUUCUCAGCAUCAUCUUCCCGUGAAGCUCAUCCAUCGAAAAGUGCACAAACGUACGAUGAAACUAAAUGGCCCUACAAACAGCUAAAUCUAGACCCAAAGAACCCCACGUGGAGAUCCCCAAGGAAGCACCGAGAGAAGCGGCCCGCCCUAACGAAAUUCGACCCUCUAACUUCAGUCGUGCCCCGAUAUUACCAACAUAUCCAGAAAAUAAAAAAAGGAAGCGGGAGCCCCCUCCUCCCUCGUUAGGAGAGUUGGACAGCCAUAGUCGAGGGGCAAGAUAACAGCAGAUACAGAGGGAACACGAGAGAGAGAGAGAGGGGGGGAGGUGCAAUCGACCCCUCCCUCGAGGGAGCGGAUUGAAAGGGGAGAGCGUACCUGGGCGGAGAGCACUUUGACUUUUUUGGGAAUUGGACGGAGGAAGGACAAGUGGAGAACACUCGGACUGGAAUCGGAUCGAAUCUGAUCUAAUCCAAAGCCACAGCGAAUCUUUGGGAGGGAAAAAGGGAAAGAGAUUGUUGAUGAUGAUGAUGAUGAUGAUGAUGAUGAUGAUGAUCACGAGAGAGAGAGAGAGAGAGAGAGAGAGGGAGGGAGGAAGAAAGGAGGAGGAGGAGGAGGGGGAAGAAGGAGAGGAAGAAGGAAAAGGAGAAGAAGCUGCUGCUGCCGCUGCUGCAGAAGAAAUGGCAAAGGACACCACAGUGGUCUUCGGGUCUCCGCUUUUUGGCUCAUCUCCGCUUCUUCCCUUUAGUUUACUCUUUCUACGCUCAGAAGAGUCCGGUCCGAGCAGGAGCACGGCCUUACCGUGUGACCGCUCACACCUUACCCUUUCCCUUCCCACCACUCCACCUCUCGCUCUCACGUGGCACGCCGGCACUCGAUCCCCACCCACUGGGCCUCCAAGCAACUCCAUCCCCAUCCACUGGGCCUCCUCCCUCCUCCUGCUCCUGUCGGCUUAAAAGGCCCCCCGGCCCAAUUCUCUCCCCACGCCCACCUUCUUCGGCCGUUCCACCUCGAUUUUCAUCCUCGGACCACAAGCACAUGAUUUCACGACCCUCGAUAAAAAUAAAAAUAAAAAUAAAAUAAGAAGAAGCUUCAUUUCAUUUGGAUACGUCCAAAGAACAUUUUCGAAUGAUCCCUCUAUGUCCAAGGCGAUGAUAUAUUUCGAUUCCUCAACAUUUUCCCGAAACUGGUUUUCAUCAUCCGACCAAAUUAGAUUGUGAUUUUCCCGAAACUAGUUUUCAUCAUCUGAUUUUAUUUCUCCUUUUUUCUAGAAAUAAGCGCACAAGAAGCCGUAAAACCGAGAAACUGGCAAUACUUAGGUAAAAAUCAAAUAGAGUUCUCAAUCAAGUGUACACAGCAUAAUAAAAGCAGUUAAGGUGACGUAUACGCACAGAGCACAAGUAUACACACAUUUAAUACCCUCUUCAACUACAAUUAAUUCUACAUAGACCUGGGUUUGAGCUCCCGUCCCAACCCCUUCUCCGCCUCCUCCUCCUCCUCCUCCAUCAGGCCCUUGCAUCAUGCAUGUCGCCAUGGCCUUAUUUCCCCCAUAACUCUCUAAUCAAUCGAUAGUCAUCGGUUGGGUCAUGCAACACCUGAAGCGAGCCUUGCGAACCGUCGUCAUGAUUUCAGUCUCCGCAUUCUCAAGCAUUCUCACCACUUCAGUGAAAGGAGGCCUGACAUCUGGGUUGGCAUCCCAGCAUCUAGUCAUAAUGUCGCUGAGGAUAGGUAGACAAUCUCCGGGGAUGAUUGGGCGGACACCUUUGUUGACAACUGCAAACGCAGCCUGCACAGCGGUCAUGUUUUGGAAGGGAAGCAUUCCUGUGAUUAGUUCCCACAGGACAAUUCCGAAACUAUAUACAUCCACUUUCUGAGUGUAGGGCCUGUGCUGGAUCAUCUCCCUGCAUGAAUAUAAGAAGUACAGGAAUGCAGCUGAGGAUAGACAGACAGAAAAUUGGAGAAUUUCAAGAAUGGAACAUAUGCAAAGAUUUUCACAACCCAGGAAGCUACUUGGUGCUUUUUAUUAGCUAUCCCAACAUGACAAAUUUGACUAGAUAUGCAGAAGCUCUCGUCAUUGCAACAUUAAAAGAUGAUAUCUGGGUCUACGACCAAAAAGAUCCACCUUGUGUAAUCUAUAGAAUUCAGCACAAGACCUGUUGGAUGCAGGAACGACCAUAUCAAGCGCAAUAGGGCCUUUGAGUCUCUUUCCUUCAAUUUCAACAAUGUCAACACAUCAUUUUCAACAAGGGAUGUUUUAACUGGUAGCCUGGGUUGGCCUCAAAGAUUGCAGAUGGCCAGGAACAGAUGGUAGCUAGUAAGAUAAUGGACACAUUGAUUACAUCCCAAUUAAUAAGACGGGGAGAGCAUUCCACUUUUUGUUGUCUUUCAUCCCUAUUUCCAAACUUCAGAUGAUAUUAUGCAGACACUACACAAAAUCAUUGGAAACCACUCCACAGUUCCUAUUGUCGUAGGAACUUCCUUGUACAUACAAGUAUUCUAAUUCCAACAGAAAAUAGGGUGUCAUGCCCUACCCACUAAAAGAAUCAUGUAAUCUUAUAAGAUCAAAUAGAUAACACGGCCAACUACAUAGCACGUGUCGAAAGCCACACAGUAGAGUCAAGAUUUUCCACAACACAUUUGAGCAUCUACUUGUAAACAUGCAUAUUGAACAGAGAUGGAACGAAAACAGACUUAAAUUAGGUAACAACAAUUGAAAAGAGAACCAACUGUUCAAAUUAAACAGGAUUAACAUUAGGAAUCAAAGAUACAAAUCCAACUCCAAUAAAAACACCCCCCUAGUCAGACCUUGAAAAUUUUAAGAUUUUAGCCUGGCCAAAUCCAUUGCAAAGUAGAAGAAUAAGCCACAGAGGGGGAAGAACCAGGUCAGGUCGCAAUAUCUUAGGGAAGUCUAGGCUUCAGUCUGGGGUCAACCCAGCAUAACCUGAUAAAUCACGAUCUUCUCAUGGAAAGGGUCAAUAUUGCAAGCAAACCCAUCCAGCAACAGAUUAUUAAUCUUGUACAUGGCAUUCUAGCCAAAGAUCAAGAAUUAGAGCCACUCAUAAAACUCCUAUCAUAGGAAUUGGCCUAAGGCAUUUGUUCCUUUAAAUGUCACUUCAUGCAUAGAGGACUAGUUGAUGUCUGUUAAAACAAAUAGUGCGAGGCAGGGAGAAGGAAAGGUGAAAGGUUCCAAUUGAGACUUGUUAAAAAAAAGGACAAAAUAGUUUUUGACUUUUUGCUAGAGUAUAAAGCAAGCCACCAGAAUGCUUUUUGCAUACUCAGGUACACGUGGUAACCAAUUUCCUCGGGACAAACAAACAGAAAGUUCUAAUGAGCAAAAAAUCAGGCACAAACAAGUUAAGCUUCACCCACAUAGCAUGCCGAGUAUAGAUAUGUUCAACAUUAAGUAAUUAAAGCUCCAUAUUUGAGCAGCGAAGAAUCUUACGGAGCCAUCCAACGGUAAGUCCCUGUCUCGGGUGUCAUUCCUUCGGUCUGGACCUCAAUUCGAGCAACCCCAAAAUCAGCAAUUUUGAUUGAUUUAUCAGAGAAAAUUAGUAGAUUGUCGGACUUUAAGUCUCUGUGGAUGAAACUAAGCUCGUGGACAUACUCCAUUCCCCUAGCAACAUCCAAAGCCUGUCUGACUGCCAAUUUCAACGGAACGGCCCGAUUAUGCCGUUUCAUCAAAAACUGCCGAACUGAACCUCCUUUCGCAUAUUCUGUAACGAUGCACCAGACCAUUGGCUUACGGCAUC
RNAcentral lists this long non-coding RNA (6421 nucleotides) under Eucalyptus grandis. Its description in RNAcentral is "long non-coding RNA (EGRA_LNC001198)". Lineage: Eukaryota; Viridiplantae; Streptophyta; Magnoliopsida; Myrtales; Myrtaceae. The record is from RNAcentral.